This is an RNA transcript of Macrosteles quadrilineatus (aster leafhopper), 4525 nucleotides long. It is a transcript of the gene named WD repeat-containing protein 11-like, with no coding region annotated. The transcript is spliced from 28 exons. The record is from RefSeq and is a predicted model, not a curated record. Lineage: Eukaryota; Metazoa; Arthropoda; Insecta; Hemiptera; Cicadellidae.
CUCGUUCUUGUGUCUUGUUUCCUUGUUUGUUUGGUUUGGGUGUUUGGUUAUGGGUUAUGGUUAUGGUUGGUUUGUGCGAUUGAAUGAUGCUAUAGCUGAAAAACUAUGAUUAUGGCAAGUUCUGAGCAACCUGCUUCAAACGUGAUGAAUGGUGGGGAUGUUCUCACAACUGAUGCUAAAAACCUUAUGUGUGACAAGUUGUUAACCUCUGAAGAAGUUGAACAGAAAACACCAGCAGUUUUUCAACAAUUUGUGUCUCCCAGAACUAUAAAUGGUCCGGCAAAUCAGCUUAACAACACCAAAGGAACUAUUAGUUGGAGCUAUAAUGGCCUGGUAGCAUAUGGUUCUAACUACACUGUGGUUGUACUGGACACAGUCAACAUGCAACCAGUUCAAUGUCUUGAUCGCCACAAAUCCAUUGUCAAUAAUGUGGUGUGGAGUCCAAAGGUAAGAAGCAAGCCUGAUGACUCUGCCUCUGUAGAGUUGGUCUCCUCGGACAUGACAGGGCACAUCAUACAUUGGGACAUCACAAUCGGCUCACCACUUGUGGUGCUACAGGAUGGCAACAAGCCAGUACUCGGUAUGGAGUGGGUACCCGGAGAGAGAAAUGACCUGUUACUAGCAACUCUGCACACACCCUACUACCUAGUCAUGUGGGACAUCAACAAACAGACAAAAUUGUGGAAAAAAGGAUUCCUAGACACCAUCUUCUACUUCCAGUUUAACCCUUUUAACGACACUGAAAUCGCUUUUAUGUGCAUGGAUUGUAUCCUAUUUUUGGAUGACUUCAACCCAAGUAAAAUUCCUGCAUCAAACGGAAGAAAGUUUUACAUAUCAAGUCCUAGAAUGGGAGAGACUGAGGAUAGCAAUAGAACUCGAGACAGGUUGAAGAAACUUAUGAAGGGACUUGUAGUUGGAGACAGCAAACCAAGACCUGAUGACACAAUGACAGUGUCAGAAUGUCUGGGACUCAGUUAUCAUCAGUCCCUUCGUCACCACAUGCUCCUGCACUACCCUAGGGAUAUACUCAUCAUUGAUCUGCUCAUCAACCAAACUGUUGGCAUCAUACCUGUGGAGAAGGCUAUGACUCCUUUAGUGCAGGUGAUCCCUGCGAAGCAGCGUGAUGUAUUGUUCUGUCUACACGAGUCUGGCAGUGUUAGUGUGAAGGUGAGACGCAAGACAGGCACAGUGGCGGUGUUACCAUCACCCCUCGACGCCCCGGCUGAGAGCAUCAGUAGUUUGGAUAUGGCGGGUAUGGGUGGCUCAGACGUGUUUCUGAGUUAUGAGCAUCGCUGCCAGAGUGAGGUGAUACGGCAGAUGAAGGGCUCCAAAGUACUAGCCAUUGCUCUAGACCCGAUGACGGAGAAGAAUAUUGUUUUGCUGUUGAACUCUGGGAAGAUCGUUCACCUUGAAUUGGAAGUGUGCGGUUUGAGUGAUAAUGAUUACUUUCCACUUUGUUUGAGUCAGAUGUUCAAACCAAUCACUGAUGACACCAGUGUGGUGCCACCACUCAAACUGAUGACCACAGGGCUGCUAGGCUCAGUGGCGGCCCCCCUCUCUGUCAUCCGAAUGUGUCCUCCACUGACCACUCGGAACCGCUCACACUACCACCCUCUCAUGGCGGGAGGCACUCAGUCUGGCCUAGUACAGAUAUACAACAUGGCUACAGGUGUGAUAGAAAAAGAGUUUGCACUGCACAACCACCCUAUCAAAGGUAUAGAAUGGACUGGCUUGACUAGCUUUUUGUCUUACGCACACUCGUCACUGGGGGGCAAGGUGGUGAAUGAGUUGCUGUUGACAGAUGUUAACUCUGGACAGACCACAACCCUGAGGCACAACAGACCUCCAGAGAACCCCAUAGACAUCCUGCGAGUGUCUCCUCUCAGGCAAUACUUUGUUGUGGUAUACAAGGACGGGCCAUUUGAGUUGUGGGAUCUAAGAAACUUGUCCCUGUUACGGACUAUGCCAAAGAAAUUCCCAUUUGUAACAGCACUGGAAUGGUCACCUGUACACAGUGUCAAGUCACUACAGGCCAAGGCUGUUCCAAGGAAGCCCAGUGAGGAGACAUCCUCCCUAGCAAGUCCCCUCUCUGAGUCUGGCAGUGCUGCCGAGCUUGUAGCUAAGGAAAAUUUGGUAUUCAGUGACACCGAAAGUCACCUUUACCACUUUGCGGUUGAUGGAAAUGUUGUGCGAGAUGGAAUAAAGAUACCUCCAGAGAGUGGUGUGGGAAUGAUCACAUGCAUUGCAUUCAAGAACAACCAGAUAGUCCAGGCUGAUGUGGAUGGCCUGUUGAACAUAUGGGAUCUGAAAUCUCGCACAUCACGUAACUCCCACACUGGCCGGGGAUGGAUCCGCAAGAUACGGUUCUCACCAGGCAAAGGCAACCUCAAGCUCCUCAUACUCUACUCAGAUGGUGUCGAUAUUGUGGAUCUAAAAAAUCAACAGUAUGAGCGACUGGCUCAGCUCAAGUGCCCCAAGGACAUGGUGAAGGUGUUAGAUAUAGACUGGGCAGCCCCUGACACCCCAGUGCUGGCUACAGAGGAUGGCUGUUUACGCAUCAUGGACUGCAAACUCACUCAGACUGCUUCUUCACUGGCUGAUUACACCUUCAAAGAGCCUGUGUGCUGCCCUGCUCUGCUACCUCCACCAGUUUAUUCACAUCUCUCUCUGCUGAUGUGUACAAGACUACUUGGGACUUCCCCUCCGUCUCAAACAUUUACUGUGGAAGAUGGCUUCUCCUUAGAUAAUUUGCAAGAUGUAAAUGAGCAAGUAGAGAUGAUGAGGAUUGAUGCUCUAGAACACAGUGAAGCCUUCACAGUAGACCAGUGUCUCAUCACAGCCAUUCUACUCAGAGACACAAAAGCUGUUUCUUUCUGGACGGUCUGCAAAUACUACCUUCAAGUGACAGCUGCUACAUCUCAAAGAGAAGAGCAAAAACCAAAGCAAGUAGAGCAUUUUGACUCCUACAGUGCCUCGGAUCUGAAGAGAAUCAAUCAGUUCCCUCACUUGCAGCCGUUAGAUACAUGUUACGAUGUCCUUUGUGAUCCAUAUUCCUAUCAGAGGCUUCAACUAGAGAGGGUGAGUGUUCAUGAGUGGCGGAGGGGAGACUACAAACACACACAGAAGGUGGUAGAGAGACUUAUAUUACUGGGAGAAAUGGACAGGGCUGUGCAACUAUUACUGGAGACUGACCUGGACAACCCCAGCUACUACACUGAUGGCAUCAAAGCAUGUUUGGUGGCAACAAUCCAGUCUACGGGAGCAGCUCAGAGUACCAUCAAGUUGGUGGCUACAAACCUUAUAGCCAACGGAAAGAUUUGGGAAGGUGUUCAGUUGCUGUGCCUGAUAGGCAAGGGCUUGGAUGGAUGUCGUUACCUCUCCUCCUACGGACUUUGGGAGUCUGCAGUGUGGCUGGCCAAGAGCACAUUGCCUCCUGUAGAAACUCUAGAGGUCCUCAAGAAAUGGUCAGAUCACCUAAAUGCCAUUGGGGAGAAGGAGUUUGCUGCUCUAGUGCUGGUUUCACAAGGCCAGUGGAACAGAGUCCUAGAGCUGCUGGUGACAAAUGGACAGACAGUGAGGGCCGGGCUACUGCUGUUGGCUCUGCAGGACAUCAGAUAUGCAGUUGAUAAGUCCGUAUUUAUAACAGUACAAUCACAGUUCUGUGAACAGGCAAGAUUAUGUGAACCACUCGCUGAAGCUAUUUCUAAAAUUCAACCCGUCUGUUGAAAGUUGUUAUUCACUCAUUGAUGAUUGAAUUACAAGUAUUUGUUACGAAACAAUAUGCCGUUUGAUUUGCCUUCAACUUUUACAUUCAACUUUAGUGCUGUAGGUGAAAAAUACAAAAAUGAAGUGGAUUUCAUAGAAAAAUCAAUCGCACAAAAUAAAAUUGUAGUUUUUGGAAUCCCUUGGCAGACAGAUACGAGAUUGGUAAAGUUUUGGCUGGAUAUGAAAAAAGUGAAAUAUUGGGCUUGUGAGAUUGACCAGCUGGAUAUUCAAGUGGGACUGCAAGAGGUGUUUUACAUAUGUACUGGUGGUCACACCUUGCUGCCUUAUGUGUUCAUGCAUGGGAGGUAUGUGGGGAGUAGACAUGAGAUAAUGGAGUUGGAGGCUAACAAUGAAUUGGAUAAAUACCUGGACGAAUCCACUGUAACUACUGUGUAAAUACCACUGACUAUUUCACUGACACUUACUACAGGUUACAAAAUAUUUAUGUUCAAAAAUAUUAUCUUUAAUAAGCAGACAAGUAGAAGAUUGAAGUGGUGUAUUUUAAGGCUGUGUUAUGAAAGCUGUUUUCUUAUUAAUCUUGAAUCUUUCUCUUGUAAACUUCAAGCUACGAGUUUCUUAUAUGAACAUUUUAAGAUUAGACUGUGUAAUAUAUAUAUAUGUAUUGCAAUAUGUUAAAGUGUCUAUAUUUAUGUGUAUAUAAAUUUUAUUUAUAGUACUACUUUCAUAUAGCCUAGUGUAUUAUUACAUAUAUUUAAAUGUUUAUAUUAUGGUGUAUAGAACUAUGAAUAAAAUGUUUAUA